AUGAUAGCAGCUCAAGAACCAACAACUAAUUUUGCCCUAAUUCAGGAAUCUGAAACACACUUUUCUUCAGAUACUGACUUUGAAGAUAUAGAAGGAAAAAAUCAGAAACCAGGAAAAGGAAAGACCUGCAAAAAGGGGAAAAAGGCUGCGGGAGAAAAAGCCAAAGUUGGAAAUGGAGGAGGAAAAGCCGGUGGACUAAAUCGAAUGAAUGGGCAUCAUCAGCAGAAUGGUGUGGAAAACAUGAUGUUAUUUGAAGUCGUUAAAAUGGGCAAGAGUGCUAUGCAGUCUGUGGUGGAUGACUGGAUAGAGUCCUACAAACAUGAUAGAGAUAUAGCGCUCCUUGAUCUCAUCAACUUUUUUAUUCAGUGCUCAGGUUGCAAAGGGGUUGUAACAGCAGAGAUGUUUCGACAUAUGCAAAAUUCAGAAAUAAUUCGAAAAAUGACUGAAGAGUUUGAUGAGGACAGUGGGGAUUAUCCGCUCACCAUGGCUGGUCCUCAGUGGAAGAAAUUUAAAUCAAGUUUUUGUGAGUUCAUUGGCGUAUUGGUCCGGCAGUGUCAAUAUAGUAUCAUAUAUGACGAAUACAUGAUGGAUACCGUGAUUUCACUACUUACAGGAUUAUCAGACUCUCAAGUCAGGGCAUUUCGACAUACUAGCACACUGGCAGCUAUGAAGCUAAUGACCGCGUUAGUAAACGUGGCAUUAAAUUUGAGCAUUAAUAUGGACAAUACACAACGACAGUAUGAGACGGAGCGAAAUAAAAUCAUUGGAAAAAGAGCCAACGAUAGACUGGAACUCUUGCUGCAGAAAAGGAAGGAGCUUCAAGAAAAUCAGGAUGAAAUAGAAAACAUGAUGAAUGCGAUUUUUAAGGGUGUAUUUGUUCAUAGGUACAGGGAUGCAAUUGCUGAGAUUAGAGCAAUAUGUAUUGAAGAAAUUGGAAUUUGGAUGAAGAUGUAUAGUGAUGCCUUUCUCAAUGACAGCUAUUUAAAAUAUGUGGGGUGGACAAUGCAUGACAAGCAAGGGGAAGUGAGACUCAAAUGUCUUACGGCUUUGCAGGGGCUUUACUAUAAUAAAGAACUGAAUUCAAAAUUGGAACUCUUCACCAGCCGGUUCAAGGACAGAAUUGUGUCUAUGACUCUUGACAAAGAAUACGAUGUUGCAGUGCAAGCAAUAAAACUACUUACUCUUGUUUUACAGAGUAGCGAAGAAGUCCUGACUGCAGAAGACUGUGAAAAUGUCUAUCAUCUGGUUUACUCAGCUCAUCGGCCAGUGGCUAUAGCAGCAGGAGAAUUUCUGUAUAAAAAGCUUUUCAGUCGCAGGGACCCUGAGGAAGAUGGAAUUCUUAAAAGAAGAGGAAGGCAAGGUCCAAAUGCUAAUCUUGUCAAAACAUUAGUAUUUUUCUUUUUGGAAAGUGAGUUACAUGAGCAUGCUGCUUAUUUGGUGGACAGCAUGUGGGAUUGUGCAACUGACCUUUUGAAGGACUGGGAAUGUAUGAAUAGCCUUCUGUUGGAAGAACCCCUAAAUGGAGAAGAACCUUUAACAGACAAACAGGAAAGUGCACUAAUUGAAAUAAUGCUGUGUACAAUUAGACAGGCAGCUGAAUGUCAUCCCCCUGUAGGAAGAGGCACAGGAAAACGGGUCCUUACAGCAAAGGAGAAAAAAACCCAGUUGGAUGACAGAACUAAGAUCACAGAGCUUUUUGCUAUCGCACUUCCUCAGCUUUUAGCAAAAUAUUCUAUAGACGCAGAGAAAGUCACCAACUUGUUACAGUUGCCACAAUAUUUUGAUUUGGAGAUCUACACAACAGGGAGAUUAGAAAAGCAUUUGGAUGCCUUAUUACGACAGAUCCGGGAUAUUGUAGAAAAGCACACAGAUACUGACGUUUUGGAAGCUUGUUCUAAAACUUACCACGCCCUCUGUAACGAGGAAUUCACCAUCUUUAACCGAGUAGAUAUUGCAAGAAGCCAGCUCAUAGAUGAACUAGCAGAUAAAUUCAACCGCCUUCUUGAAGAUUUUCUGCAGGAGGGAGAAGAACCUGAUGAAGACGAUGCCUAUCAGGUCUUGUCAACAUUAAAGCGAAUUACUGCUUUUCACAAUGCACACGAUCUGUCAAGGUGGGACUUGUUUAGUUGUAACUACAAGUUACUAAAAACAGGCAUUGAGAAUGGAGAUAUGCCCGAACAGAUAGUUAUUCACGCACUGCAGUGUACUCACUAUGUAAUCCUUUGGCAGCUAGCAAAAGUAGCCGAGAGCAGUUCUACCAAGGACGACCUUCUACGCUUAAAGAAAGAGAUGAGAGUUUUUUGUCAAAUCUGUCAGCACUACCUUACCAAUGUAAAUACUGCUGUUAAAGAACAGGCCUUCACUAUUUUGUGUGACGUGUUAAUGAUCUUCAGCCAUCAGAUCAUGUCAGGAGCACGUGACAUGUUAGAGCCAUUAGUUUACUCUCCUGAUUCUUCCUUACAGUCCGAACUCCUGAGUUUUAUUCUUGAUCAUGUCUUCAUCGACCAGGACGAGGAUAGCAACAGUGCAGAUGGACAGCAGGAUGAUGAAGCCAGUAAGAUAGAAGCUUUGCACAAAAGAAGAAAUUUGCUUGCAGCUUUUUGUAAACUUAUUGUAUAUACCGUGGUGGAAAUGAACACUGCUGCAGAUAUUUUUAAGCAAUAUAUGAAGUAUUACAACGACUACGGAGAUAUCAUCAAAGAAACAAUGAGUAAAACGAGGCAAAUAGACAAAAUUCAGUGUGCAAAGACAUUGAUUCUCAGUUUACAACAGCUUUUCAAUGAGAUGAUCCAAGAAAAUGGGUAUAAUUUUGAUAGAUCAUCGCCGUCUUUCAGUGGGAUUAAGGAACUGGCUCGGCGUUUCGCUUUAACGUUUGGACUCGAUCAGCUGAAAACAAGAGAAGCCAUUGCUAUGUUACACAAAGAUGGGAUAGAGUUUGCUUUUAAAGAGCCUAACCCACAAGGAGAAAGCCAUCCACCUUUAAAUUUGGCAUUUCUUGAUAUAUUGAGCGAAUUCUCUUCCAAACUUCUCAGGCAAGACAAAAAAACAGUGUACGCUUAUCUGGAGAAGUUCAUGACCUUUCAGAUGUCUCUUCGAAGAGAAGAUGUGUGGCUCCCACUCAUGUCUUACAGGAAUUCUUUGCUAGCUGGGGGUGAUGACGACACAAUGUCAGUCAUCAGUGGGAUUAGUAAUAGAGGGUCGACAGUAAGGAACAAGAAGACAAAACCAGCUACAGGGAAGCGGAAACUCCCUGAAGCCGAGGAGAGCAGCAGCAGCGACAGCCUGUGGCUGAACAGGGAGCAGACCCUGCACACGCCCAUCAUGUUACAGACGCCGCAGCUCACUUCCACCAUCAUGAGGGAGCCCAAAAGGUUGCGACCGGAAGAGAACUACAUGGGCGUCUACCCCAUGCAACCCGAGCACCAUCAGCCACCCAUCGACUACAAUACACAGGUAACAUGGAUGCUGGCUCAAAGGCAGCAGGAGGAAGCAGCCAGGCAACAGCAGGAGAGGGCAGCUAUGAACUACGUGAAGCUGAGAACCAACCUGCAGCACGCCAUUCGACGUGGCACUAGUCUCAUAGAGGACGACGAAGAGCCCAUCGUUGAAGAUGUGAUGAUGUCAUCAGAAGGGCGCAUUGAGGAUCUCAAUGAAGGCAUGGACUUUGACACCAUGGACAUAGACCUACCACCAUCAAAGAACAGAAGAGAAAGAACAGAGUUAAAGCCGGAUUUCUUUGACCCAGCAUCAAUCAUGGAUGAAUCUGUUCUCGGGGUAUCAAUGUUUUAAUAGUAGUUCAGCAAAUAACUCCGUGGUAAAGUCAUUUUCUACUGUGGAAGAGGAGAUUUUUAAAUUAAAAAAGUGUAGAUAACAGUGAUAUUCUGAACAAGAUUUUUUUCUCUAAGGAGAAUUGAUGUGCUUACAGGAUCCAGUGCAUUGAAGGGGGCAGUUUUCUUUGCCUGGAACAAUAAAGGACAAGUAAACGACUUGAGGAUAAGCUAUUGUUUCUGUUGGGAAACCAGUAUUUUAUUUAUACAAUGUUUAGUUUAUUUCCAACUCAUAGUAUAAAUAUCACUUAAAAAAAAUAAUCCUAGCAUCAAAGAGGUGCUUAGUGUACGCACUUCUGUCAUUGUUGAACAUACUCAAGCAAUUAUAUAUAUAUAUAUUUUCUAGAUUAUCAUUGAAAGCAUCAGUUUGGAAAUCUGUGUAAUUAGAUGAAAGAAAAGCAUUUUUAAUGUGAUAUUUAAAUUCUGGUCAACCAAAACUUUACUUUUGGUUGUGAUAAUCAUGGAAAUAAAUUACAAGUGAUUUUUUUAAAAUUCAGAAAUUAUUAUAGAAUAUUAAAAAAAGAAAAAAGAAACAACACACACCAAGGCUUCCUUUACAUAUUCAUGAAACAUUUAAGAAUCAUAAAUGCCAGAAAGCACUGAUAUCAUUUCAGCUUACCCAUCUCUAACCCUAAGAGUUUGCUUGUCCUUUAAGAAAAGCAAAUGUAAUAUUGUGAGAUUCCUUCCAGUAGUGCCACUGUAUUUUGUCUCCAAAUAAAGAAGCUUAUUGUAGUAUGUUUGCAGAAAAAAAAAUUCUAAACAAAAAUAUACAGCUUAUUAGAGUGUGGGAAUAGGGGUCUAAAUUUUAAAUAAAAAAGUAUAAAUAUAUAUAUAUAUAUAAAAAAAAUUGGUGCUGAUUUUAUAAUUGCGCAGUUUUAGUUUUUUCUUACUUUUAAAUUCCAACUUAAAAAUUAUGAGGUUUCAGAAAUAUAUUGAAAGUUUAACAAUGUUUAAAAAUAGAUUUAAGCAUGAGAAUUCAUGCUUUAAAAUGAUUUUUAAAUUUGUAUUUUAUAUUGUUUUAUCUAUCUCUGUCUUUGCAAGCAGUCUUCAGGUUAAUGAUACUUCUAACAGGUUACAGGACAUUUCUUCUGUAUGUAAAUUGAAUUGGGUGAUAGAACUUCAUCAGUAUCCCAUCAUAUUCUUUGAAAGCUAAGCUUUAAAUGAAUUUCAUUGUUUUUUUUUUCCCCACAGUUAAAUUAAAAAAAAAUUUAAAACCCAUGGAUUUAUGUCAUUUCAACAUGAUUCAUUUUCAACCAUGCUUAGGCAGCUAGACGACAUUUAAAGGAAAUAUUAACUUAUAACACAAAUGUAUAUUUUUGUCAGUUGUCUCUCAGUUCUUGAGGUAUAUUAUUUCUAAUCAUUCCAUUCGCCUUAAUAUGCUUGCAAUAUGAUAAUUUCUUCAAAUAAGCAAAUAGAAGAACCUCUUAGACAAAAGGAAAAAAAAUAAAGCUUGGGCUGUGGUAGCCAUAAACCAUAGAUUCUCUAAAGGAUCCUGAUAACAUAAUUAUUUUGAAAAUCAUGAUGUAAUACACAGAGCCAGUUUUGCAUAACUCCAUUUUGCAUAAAUAUUCACAUGUCUAAAAUACUGCCUAUAUUUCUUUCUUUCUUUUCCUUCUUUACACCACUGCGUUUAAAUAGAACUGCUGAGAGGACUGUAUAUAUGAUUUUGUUGAUUUUUUUUCUUACUCUUGAAGGAGUUUCUUUGUGAAAGCAGUUCUUACAGCUUUACGUUUUCCAGACUAAAAAUGUUUUAUAUAUUUACCUUAACCUGUUGUCCUCCACAUUUUAUCGUCCUAAUUGUACUGUUUUCUGAUUUGUAUUUAUGUCUUGAGACAAGUAACUUUUUGAAUAAAAAUAAACCUACAGUAUGUUGUAAGUUUGAUCUUUUUGAAUCAAAAGGUAGAGGAAGAAAAUAAAAAGAGUG
This is a non-coding RNA of Notechis scutatus (mainland tiger snake), 5751 nucleotides long. Lineage: Eukaryota; Metazoa; Chordata; Lepidosauria; Squamata; Elapidae. The record is from RefSeq and is a predicted model, not a curated record.